UGAGGAAUAUUGGUCAAUGGGCGCGAGCCUGAACCAGCCAAGUAGCGUGCAGGAUGACGGCCCUAUGGGUUGUAAACUGCUUUUAUGCGGGGAUAAAGUGAGGGACGCGUCCCUUUUUGCAGGUACCGCAUGAAUAAGGACCGGCUAAUUCCGUGCCAGCAGCCGCGGUAAUACGGAAGGUCCGGGCGUUAUCCGGAUUUAUUGGGUUUAAAGGGAGCGUAGGCCGGCUUUUAAGCGUGUUGUGAAAUGCCGCGGCUCAACCGUGGCACUGCAGCGCGAACUGGUGCCCUUGAGUACGCACGACGUUGGCGGAAUUCGCCGUGUAGCGGUGAAAUGCUUAGAUAUGGCGAAGAACUCCGAUUGCGAAGGCAGCUGACGGGAGCGCUACUGACGCUCAUGCUCGAAAGCGCGGGUAUCGAACAGGAUUAGAUACCCUGGUAGU
Molecule: ribosomal RNA, 442 nt
Filed under: uncultured Prevotella sp.
Lineage: Bacteria; Pseudomonadati; Bacteroidota; Bacteroidia; Bacteroidales; Prevotellaceae
Description: bacterial SSU rRNA
Rfam family: Bacterial small subunit ribosomal RNA
Source: RNAcentral